RNAcentral lists this non-coding RNA (45 nucleotides) under Paramuricea clavata. It matches the Rfam family "Histone 3' UTR stem-loop". Rfam says of the family: The mRNAs of metazoan histone genes lack a poly-A tail. 3' end processing occurs at a site between a highly conserved stem-loop (modelled by this family) and a purine rich region around 20 nts downstream (the histone downstream element, or HDE). The record is from RNAcentral. Lineage: Eukaryota; Metazoa; Cnidaria; Anthozoa; Malacalcyonacea; Plexauridae.
AAACCGGUUCCUAUAGGAACCAUCAAAAUAACAAAAGAAUUGAAA